Molecule: ribosomal RNA, 307 nt
Filed under: uncultured bacterium
Lineage: Bacteria
Description: partial 16S ribosomal RNA
Rfam family: Bacterial small subunit ribosomal RNA
Source: RNAcentral
AGACAGCAGUCGCCACGGUAAUACGGAGGGUGCAAGCGUUAAUCGGAAUUACUGGGCGUAAAGCGUGCGUAGGCGGUUCGUUAAGUCUGUUGUGAAAGCCCCGGGCUCAACCUGGGAAUGGCAAUGGAUACUGGCGAGCUAGAGUGUGUCAGAGGAUGGUGGAAUUCCCGGUGUAGCGGUGAAAUGCGUAGAGAUCGGGAGGAACAUCAGUGGCGAAGGCGGCCAUCUGGGACAACACUGACGCUGAGGCACGAAAGCGUGGGGAGCAAACAGGAUUAGUACCCGCGUAGUCCCUGUCUCUUAUACA